UACGGGGGGAGCAAGCGUUGUUCGGAUUUACUGGGCGUAAAGGGCGCGUAGGCGGUCAGCACAAGUCAGUUGUGAAAUCUCCGAGCUUAACUCGGAAAGGUCAACUGAUACUGUGCGACUAGAGUGCGGAAGGGGCAACUGGAAUUCUUGGUGUAGCGGUGAAAUGCGCAGAUAUCAGGAGGAACACCAAUGGCGAAGGCAGAUCUCUGGGCCGUAACUGACGCUGAGGAGCGAAAGCUAGGGGAGCGAACGGG
RNAcentral lists this ribosomal RNA (254 nucleotides) under uncultured bacterium. RNAcentral describes it as "partial 16S ribosomal RNA". It matches the Rfam family "Bacterial small subunit ribosomal RNA", at positions 524 to 776 of the family's 1533-position model. The record is from RNAcentral.